UCACGUUUGCUCGCACGUGCUCGGCACUUGUCGUGUCUGGACGGCCAUUUGUGCCCCCGUUUGGGCGUAAGUUCAAACGGUGGGUCUGGUUGCCGGCACGCAGGUUGGCUCCGAGCCGCGGCGGACCGCACUUCUCCCUUAGUAGGACGUCGCGACCCGCUCGUCCGUGGUCUACGGCUGAGUAAGAUGCCUGACACUCGUGCUGGUCCUUUUGGGCUAGCGGCUUGAGUCAGACUGCUCGUGCUUCCUGACCACGGUAACGGACGGUAUCAAAUACCGGUGUCGAGUCGCUUCUUAGCGAGGGGGAAAUAAAACACCCUCUCGUACGGAAGCGCCCUAGGCAGAGGGCAAGGUUUCUGAGUUUCUAAAAACGUAAGUUUUGAAGUCAAGACGUUUGUUUUCUGUUCGUCUGACGGAGCUCGGGCCUGUUGGUUCUCUGUCUUUGGGCUGGCUCAUUCCCAUUGCGCGGAGAAUGGCACCAGUCAGCGGCGAUCUAGUUUUGGGCUCUUUUCCGACCCGUCUUGAAACACGGACCAAGGAGUUUAGCGUGCUCGCGAGUCAUUGGGUGUUACAAAACCUAAAGGCGAAAUGAAAGUAAAGAGAGUUUUUUGACUCUCAAGGGAGGAUGAGCUACUGCUCUGGUCGUUCUAACCGACGGCUGAGCGUGUCUCCGCACUCCCGGGGCGAUUCUUUCUCAUUGCGAGUGGAGGCGCACCAAGAGCGAGCACGCUGAAACCCGAAAGAUGGUGAACUAUGCCUGGCCAGGACGAAGCCAGGGGAAACCCUGGUGGAGGUCCGCAGCGAUUCUGACGUGCAAAUCGAUCGUCGGAGCUGGGUAUAGGGGCGAAAGACCAAUCGAACCAUCUAGUAGCUGGUUCCCUCUGAAGUUUCCCUCAGGAUAGCUUGCGCUCGGGUGUGAAGAGUCUCAUCCGGUAGAGCGAAUGAUUAGAGGCCUUGGGGUCGAAACGACCUCAACCUAUUCUCAAACUCCAAAUAGAUGAGAACCCCGGCUUGCUUGAAUUUUUUUUUUAUAUUUGAAGCCGCGGGACUCGGAUCAGAGUGCCAAGUGGGCCAAUUUUGGUAAGCA
This 1087-nucleotide ribosomal RNA is filed under the name Diplocysta trilobata. RNAcentral's name for it is "partial large subunit ribosomal RNA". It matches the Rfam family "Eukaryotic large subunit ribosomal RNA", at positions 597 to 1146 of the family's 3401-position model. The record is from RNAcentral. Lineage: Eukaryota; Metazoa; Arthropoda; Insecta; Hemiptera; Tingidae.